This 74-nucleotide non-coding RNA is filed under the name unclassified sequences. RNAcentral's name for it is "RT-6 RNA". It matches the Rfam family "RT-6 RNA". From Rfam's summary of the family: Firmicutes. Nearby to self-splicing intron genes The record is from Rfam by way of RNAcentral.
UGCUCUAAGUGUAGACUUAGAGGAAGAAGAUUGUUGUCAACAGUCCAGAGCAGAUUUCUUCCAGAAAUCCACGA